This 474-nucleotide ribosomal RNA is filed under the name Peripatidae gen. 1 sp. 2 OYHL-2019. RNAcentral describes it as "partial small subunit ribosomal RNA". Lineage: Eukaryota; Metazoa; Onychophora; Udeonychophora; Euonychophora; Peripatidae. The record is from RNAcentral.
CAGCAGCAGCGGUUAUACGUUAUUAUAAAUUAAUUUUAACUGAAUAAAUCCAUUUAAUAUAUUUUUAUAAAAAAUGAAAUUUCUAAUAAAAACAAUACAACAAUUAUCCUAUUAUACAGGCUAAAACCAGGAUUAGAUACCCUGCUAUUCUAACCUAAAUAAUAUUUCAAAGGAAAACAAAAUAAAUUUGACGGUAUUAACUUUUACAAAGGAAUUUGUUUCUUAAUCGACAACCCACGUAUUACCUCACUUAACAAUUAUUUGUAUACCACUGUAAAGAAAUUAUCUAAAAUAAACUUCAUAAAAGAAAAACCUAAAAAAUCAAGUCAUGGUGCAAUUUAGUUAAGAUGAAAUGAAUUACAUUUAUUCGCUAUACAAAAUAUUUUAGAUGAAACUCUCAUAAAAUAGAAUUUGUCAGUAAAAUUUUAUCAUCAUGAUAAUUUGAAAACUAACAUUAAUAUGUACAUAUCGCCC